This is a long non-coding RNA of Melanotaenia boesemani (Boeseman's rainbowfish), 1576 nucleotides long. RefSeq lists it as uncharacterized. Lineage: Eukaryota; Metazoa; Chordata; Actinopteri; Atheriniformes; Melanotaeniidae. The transcript has 2 exons. The record is from RefSeq and is a predicted model, not a curated record.
AGAAAAGCUGGGAAGAAGGCCAGUUCUUUCUCCUUAUCGGGGAUGUUGUAAGAAUGUUUAUAUGUGUGUGAAUGUGUGUGAAAGGUCUGAAAGUAAACAGAUGUUGAACAUAGAAGCUUCUAGAAGGUUCUGGAAGGAGAGGAGGGGUCGAAGAACGAGCUUAAAGAGUCCUGCGUAGCAGGACUCUGGUUAGUUCGUGUGGUCUGAAUUCACCAGCAGCCUUUGUGCACUGCAAUAAACCAUUUAAAGAAAAGUAUCGGAGUCAGAUUAUCCUUAACGCGCGAGUGAAGUUAACUGCCAAGGCAGGAGCCGACCGGGGAAGAGGAAGAGAAGGAGAAAGAAGCUCCAGUCGGGAGGCAGGCUCCUUCUCGUGGUAGGAGUACGGUCCCGGAGCAGGGAGCCCGACCGGACAAAAGCCACAACAUAAAUGGUGACCCCGACGUUUUUCUCUUGAUUAUCCCGCUGGAGUGAAUAUCAGAAUUCUGGCUAAUUUGCUUUCUCUUCUUUUCCCCGAUGAAAUUGGCCAACGAAACGCGACACUAAACUGAAGAGACACGGGCGGAGAAACGGCGAACGUAUCAACAGAACCCGGAAACCGAUUCCAGAAGGGAGUUGGAGGAGGAGCCAAAGAUCAAACCAGGAGAUCUCGUGUACGUGAAGGUGUUCCGCAGACAGUGGAACAGCCCGAGGCGAGAGGGGCCGUACGAAGUCACACGAGCCACCAGAACCGCAGUUCAGGUCAAAGGGAAACCGACCUGGUUUCACCUAUCCCACUGCACGCCAGCAUCCGCGACACGAGCAGAUGAUGACAGCCAAAAGGGCUCUCCCGAGUCUCUGGCUCCUGGUCAUGGGUCUCAUGAUGUAUCAGGGGGGCCGGGCACAGCAGCCUCAGCUCGGAGGAUGAUGAGGGGGAGGUCUCAGCAGACUUCAAGGGGGUCUGCUGAACAACCAGAACGAGGAGAGGAGGAGCUGCCUCGCUUGCCUUGCUUUUGCAGCCUGCUACAGCUGUGUUGAUCAAAAUACCCCUGAAGGGGUACAUGCCCAUUGAAAGCAGAGUUUUCCCUUGCCCCACCUUCAGCUCCAUGCAUGGCAGGCCAGUGUGGAGACUCCAUGACACACGAGGUGUCAGAGGGUGGAGAGUUAUAGACUGGAAACCGGUUGGAGAAAAAAGAAAGAAGGGACUGAAAUGAUUAAGUACAGUCAUGAAGUGAUGAACAAAUGAAUAAUGUCAUGUAUAACAUCUGUUUGAUUAACAGGCGGGGACCGUAGGAUGUCGAUGGAUUCAAUUCUCUACACGCUUAUUUUGAUUAAUGAAAACACAAUUUUAAAGGUCAAGAUACUUCACAUAAUACAUAUAGGAGAUGCGUCGUUAACUAAGGGAGGAGCAGACGGUUAAACAGCGCGAGAGGGUGGAAGUAAAAGACCGGGGUGGAAGAAUCGGGGAAGGUAGUUCUGGAUACGGAGUAAACUGCUUAGGAGGAUGACCCCAGACCCCGGGUCAUCGAGUAGAUGGCUCUGUGAGGGUGCAAGUCCAAUGUGUACCCAAGCAGAGGGUCAUAUGUCGUUUUUCCUUAAA